CAAGACACUCUGAGUUUCUAAUGUGUUUUUCCAGUGGGCAAAUAGAAUUUCUAAAGUGACUCAGUGCAGAUGAAAUGAUGCCAGCCUUCUCUACCUUACUUCCCGGCAGACUGUGGACCUGCCACCUGACUGGAGAGUGUUGUCAGGAUUUGUGCAAUGCACUCUACACCAAUGAGUACCUGAGAGACCUUGACCUCAGUGAUAAUGCCUUAGGGGAUGAGGGUAUGCAGGUGCUGUGCUGAAACACCCCUCCUGUAAACUACAGACCUUGUGGUUAGCAGAAUGUCAUCUCACAGAUGCGUGCUGUGGAGCCCUUGCCUCUGUCCUCAACAGAAAUGAGAACCUAACACUGCUAGACCUAAGUGGAAAUGACCUCAAGGAUUUUGGAGUGCAAAUGCUGUGUGAUGCACUGAUUUAGCCAUUAUGUAAACUACAGACAUUCUACGUUGACACGGAUCAUUUACAUGAAGAAACGUUCAGAAAGAUGGAAGCUUUAAAAAUGAGCAAGCCUGGAAUCACCUGGUAGUUUCCAAGGAAAGCCCCUGAAUCAGCUGCAUAUAGACUCCCUUGAUCUGCCACCAUCUUUAACAGUUGUGCAAUAUUCUUGUUCUAAACCUGUUAACCAUUGCCAAGGACCCGAAUGUGAAACAAACAGCAGUGAUUUCUAUUUCUUACACAGAAUCAUCCACGAAGUAGGUGUGAAAGGCAGAGGCACUUUAGUUCAAAUGUCUUCAGCAAUAAUACCUUACAUUCAUAUGUUGUAUUAUAAUGUUUACUAUGUUCUCACAGAAACCCUCAAAAGUGGGAAGAUGAGGCUCAGAUAGGCUGUGACUAGCUCUAGGUCACACAGCUCAUUAGUGAGAGAAUUGGGACUGGAAUCUAGCCAGGUUUUACAAUACCCAGACCAGACAGAGAAACAAUAGAAAAAGAAUGUGAAGGAGUCAACUUAAAGAAACAAGAUACUUGAAAUGAUUAAAGAGCAAGAGAGUAUACAAACAUAUAUCUUAUGGUGCUGAUUUUAAGUAAAACUAAUUCACAAAGGAAAGAGAGGAAUGAGUUCCAUUAAUAGGGAAAGGCUUCAUGGAGAUGCAACUUGAUGUGGGCCUUGAGAAUGAGCAGGAUUGAGAUGGGGGGCAGAUACAUAGGCCAGUGGCUGUAAGACUGCAGGCAACAGGGCUGUGUUUGUGAGCUGCUCGCCAAAAGCGCCUAGGGAGAGAAAAAUGUUUGCAUUAGAGUUUCCUGAGCUGUGGCAGUAUCUACAUUCUAGCUGAGGGUGUUCUCUAGUUUCCAGGCUCAACUCCUUUUCUGAACUUCUAAUACCCCAUGUGUUUGUUCUUAUUCAUGGACUCCUAUGGCUGACUCACUCCUCAUCCGUGACAACAAAUUGCAUGGCCUAGCAUGGGUCCUACACAACCCCAUGUUUCUCUCUGCCUAGCUUCUACAAAACACCAGAUGAGACAAGUGGAGGAAGGGAAUGCCAGGCAAAGAAAAUAGCACAAAGUCCAUGAUAUAGGAGUUAAUGUGGUAUGGGAUGAGCAGAAAAGUAGGCUGACCCAAUUAAGAUACACAGGUGUCUCUGGAAGCUACUUGACUAGCUGUGUGACCCUGAACAAGUCAACUUGGAUUCUAACAGUUUCUAGUUUCUCAUCUGUAAAAUGGGGAUAACUUCACAUUAACCUUAUAUGGCUGUUGUUCCUGACAUGGUGCUGACCCACAGUAGGUACUAUAAUGGUAGCUAUUUGUAUGAGUGUGUAAAUGUGAUGAUACAACUCAGCUUGUAGUCUUUGAGCUCCCAGAUUUUCCUGCUGUGUAGUCAGUGUUAACUGUCCAUUUGAACUAAAUGUGUGUGCUGGAGACAGUAAAUCUAGUGGGGGAAGAGACACAUAGUGGGAAGUUACUGCCCGCUAGAGGUCUAGCUGCUCCAUGUCCUCGUCCAUCAUCAUAUAUUGUUCCUUGCUGCCCUGGGAGAUGGUAACUUUCGGUCUGGAGACCACAUCUGGCCUAAGAUGGUCAAAACAGCACUUUGUUUCCAGUUUUCUUAAGUUCUUUCCUUUUAGUUAUUUAAGACUUAUUUAUUGACAAUUAUUAUGUGCCAGGUUUUGUGCUAAGUAUUGGCUUUAUAGAGAUGAAUAUGCCUUUCCCUGUGCACAUCCCCCUCCAUCUUCUCUGACUUCCCUGGUCCCUCUGUCAGUCUGGUAAAAAUCUGAUAAAACUCAGUCACAGUAAGAACUCAGAGAUAUAAUGUUGAAUGAAAGAUUGCAGAACUCUGUGUGUGGGUCUUUGUGUGUGUGUCCCAUUUGUGUAUAAAAGGAUAAAUACACAUGUGUGUGUAUGUGUCCAGAAUAUGUGUGGAAGAAUAUAUACAGGAAAUUGCCAAUAGGAGUUAUCUCUGUUAAGAGGAAUUUGGCAAAGAGGGGCCAUUUUUAUCUAUAGCCCUUUGUUCUACUUGAUGUUUUUACCAUGUGCAUGUAUUAAUUUUAUAAUUAAUAAACUUGAUGUUAAAAAUAAAAUUUAUACUGAGGAGUUAUUUUUCUUCUUUUAAACAUGACAGUUGAGAAGAAAAUAUAGGGCAGACAUUUAUAAGCAUGAUAAAAACCCAAAGGAAAAGAAUGAAAGAUUUGAUAAAAUUGAAAUUAAAAAUACUUUUAUGAGAAAAAUACAUAAAUAAAAGACCAGUGAUAAACUGCAAGAACCUAUUUGGCAUAUUAUAAAGACAAGGCUAAUGUCCAUAAUAUAAAUAACAAAUCAGCAUGAAAAACAAAAUGUGAAGGACUCCUACUUCCAGCAAUGCUGAAGUAACAAUGAAUGGACUCAUCUUCCCACAUUAACAACUCAAAAAAUGGGCAAAAUAUAUGAAAUAGCAGUUUUCAAACAUUGGUGGAGUUGAGAAAAAUAAAAAACAAAUAACUAGGUGGUAGUUUUAAACAGAACCAUAUCAAUAAAUAUAUUAAUGGUCUCACAGCAACCCAAUUAAAAGACUGAGAUUGGUAGAAUAGAAAAUUAGAAAAAAACCUCAACUAUAUGUUGCCUAUAGGAAACCCACUUUAAGUAUAAAAACACAAGUAGGUUAAACAUAAAAGACAGGAAAAUACACCAUGUUAACAUUGAUUUUAAAAAAGCUGGCGUGAGUAUAUUAUUAGAGAAAGCAGAUUGCAAAACAACGAAUAUUACCAGAAAUUCAGAGGGCUAUUUUAUAAUAAUAACGUAGUUAAUUCAUCAUAAGGGCAUAACAGUCCUAAAAAUACUUGCACCUAAACAACACAUUCAAAAUACAUGAAACAAAAACUGGGCAAGGAGAAAUAGACAAAUCCACAAUUUUAGUCAGAGACUUCAACAUCCUUCUCAAUAACUGAUAAACCAAGGAGAUAGAAAAUAAGCAAGAAUAUAUAGAUGAUUUGAACAACAAAAAUAAUAAAUAUGACCUAGUUGACACCUAAGCAACACUCAACCCAACAACAGAAAACGUGUUCUUUACAAAUGCACAUUGACUAUUUACCAAGAUAGACCAGAUCUCGGUCAUACAACAAGUCUCAAUAAAGUUAAAGGAUUCAAGACAUACAAAAUAUGUUCUCUGACCACAAUGGAGGUAAAUUAAAAAUCAGUAAAAGAAAGAUAUAUAGAAAAUUCUCUGAAUGUUUGGAAAAUAAAUAACGCACUUCUCAAUAAUCUAUGGCUCAAGAGUAAGUCUCAAGGAAAAUUAAGUAUUUUAAACAGUGAAAUGAAAACAGGAGACAAAUUUGUGGGAAAUAGCACAGUGCUUAGAGGGACAUUUAUAGCACUAAACAGCUAUAUUAGAAAAGA
Molecule: long non-coding RNA, 3801 nt
Organism: Panthera uncia (snow leopard)
Lineage: Eukaryota; Metazoa; Chordata; Mammalia; Carnivora; Felidae
Exons: 3
Source: RefSeq, a predicted model, not a curated record